CUCGGUGGUUAUGGCAAGAGGGGUACACCCGGGUCCCUUUCCGAACCCGGUAGUUAAGGCUCUUAGCGCUGAUGGUACUGCACCGGUAGGUGUGUGGAGAGUAGGUCGCCGCCGAGA
Molecule: ribosomal RNA, 117 nt
Filed under: Rothia kristinae
Lineage: Bacteria; Bacillati; Actinomycetota; Actinomycetes; Micrococcales; Micrococcaceae
Source: RNAcentral